This 301-nucleotide ribosomal RNA is filed under the name uncultured bacterium. RNAcentral describes it as "partial 16S ribosomal RNA". It matches the Rfam family "Bacterial small subunit ribosomal RNA", at positions 509 to 807 of the family's 1533-position model. The record is from RNAcentral.
CAGUCGCCGCGGGAAUACGGAGGGUGCAAGCGUUAAUCGGAAUUACUGGGUGUAAAGCGUGCGUAGGCGGUUCGUUAAGUCUGUUGUGAAAGCCCCGGGCUCAACCUGGGAAUGGCAAUGGAUACUGGCGAGCUAGAGUGUGUCAGAGGAUGGUGGAAUUCCCGGUGUAGCGGUGAAAUGCGUAGAGAUCGGGAGGAACAUCAGUGGCGAAGGCGGCCAUCUGGGACAACACUGACGCUGAGGCACGAAAGCGUGGGGAGCAAACAGGAUUAGAUACCCGCGUAGUCCCUGUCUCUUAUAC